GUAAUCAUCCCUGAGCCCAAGAAAUUAAGCGCUGCAUUUCAACAGAGAACUUAACGGGAAGAGAAGUAUUUUGAGCCCAGGUUUAAUGGACAACCUGGUUUAAUACAACUGUGGAAGAAUAACAAACAAAUGAACAAAAAAGAUGAAAUUUCCCAGGGUCUAUAUUAUCUGUUUGAAGAAUACCAACCUUUUAGACAGGAAAUACUAAUAACCAUGGGUCCCAGAACUCUAUUCUGUGGUGGGAAGAACAGUGAAAUGAGUCGGGAGACCUGGCUUCCAAUUUUAACUCUUGACUUUUUAACUAGCUGUGUGAUUUCAGGUUUUUUUGGGAGGUGUUUUCAAUGAAUUCCUUGGUGCCUGGAGGCAAGUUUACUGGGAAGAUAUGUGCAGUUUUAUAAAUGAAGAUAUCAAUAAAUAGAAAACUUGAGAAGAAGAGGUCAAGUACCUUACCCUGUAAUGUCAUUUGCUUCUGGAACCAACCAUGAAGAUUUGCUCAUCUCAUAGCUGAAGGAUGUUGAAACACAUUUCUUGCCAAUAUGGCUUCAUCUGGAGUGUGGAUGGGCUCUUCAUUCUGACACAUUGCAUAAAUGGCAAACGUAGAUGCUAAAUACUACUGAUGAUUAGCCAUACAAAAAUGCUUUUUACUCUCAUUCUUGACAGGAAUGACAAUCCUUUGGCCAGACUCACCUCCUUCUGGACACCAAGGGCUGUUUCAUUCUUGGUUUUGCCAUCUGGUUUCAGUAAAAGCCAGAAAUGAUAAGAGAAAAGGGAUUCUUAAAGAGGCAGCAAAUAGAAAGGUUCUUUUGGUUGUAUAUGACCACUUUAAUAAUUCAGGAAACUUGUUCUUUCAUGGAUAAAGUCAAAUCAACAAAUAUGUAUUAGGCUUAUACUUUGUAUAGGUUGAUAUACUAGGCCCUGGAGGACAGACAAAGUUUAGAUAAGGUACUUCUCAAGGAGUAUAUGGU
Molecule: long non-coding RNA, 965 nt
Organism: Vombatus ursinus (common wombat)
Lineage: Eukaryota; Metazoa; Chordata; Mammalia; Diprotodontia; Vombatidae
Exons: 4
Source: RefSeq, a predicted model, not a curated record